RNAcentral lists this ribosomal RNA (155 nucleotides) under Bacillus pumilus. Its description in RNAcentral is "partial 16S ribosomal RNA". It matches the Rfam family "Bacterial small subunit ribosomal RNA", at positions 381 to 528 of the family's 1533-position model. Lineage: Bacteria; Bacillati; Bacillota; Bacilli; Caryophanales; Bacillaceae. The record is from RNAcentral. RNAcentral also lists the same sequence under 1 other name.
GUCUGACGGAGCAACGCCGCGUGAGUGAUGAAGGUUUUCGGAUCGUAAAGCUCUGUUGUUAGGGAAGAACAAGUGCGAGAGUAACUGCUCGCACCUUGACGGUACCUAACCAGAAAGCCACGGCUAACUACGUGCCAGCAGCCGCGGUAAUACGA